GGGUUGGUAAGUUAAAUUUAAACUACGGGGUUCAUGUCCCCAUAAUACACAUUAUGUGUCCCACCUA
Molecule: transfer RNA, 67 nt
Filed under: Anthocephalum grabatum
Lineage: Eukaryota; Metazoa; Platyhelminthes; Cestoda; Rhinebothriidea; Anthocephaliidae
Description: Alveobothrium grabatum tRNA-Met
Source: RNAcentral